UCCGAGUUGACCCCGGCAGUCUCCCAUGAGUCCCCGCCAUUACGCGCUGGCAACAUGGAACGAGGGUUGCGCUCGUUGCGGGACUUAACCCAACAUCUCACGACACGAGCUGACGACAACCAUGCACCACCUGUGAACCGGCCCCGAAGGACCCCACAUCUCUGUGGGAUUACCGGCAAUGUCAAACCCAGGUAAGGUUCUUCGCGUCGCAUCGAAUUA
RNAcentral lists this unclassified non-coding RNA (219 nucleotides) under uncultured Actinomycetes bacterium. Its description in RNAcentral is "uncultured actinobacterium contains 16S-23S intergenic spacer region". Lineage: Bacteria; Bacillati; Actinomycetota; Actinomycetes. The record is from RNAcentral.